This 274-nucleotide long non-coding RNA is filed under the name Elaeis guineensis (African oil palm). RNAcentral describes it as "long non-coding RNA (EGUI_LNC037146)". Lineage: Eukaryota; Viridiplantae; Streptophyta; Magnoliopsida; Arecales; Arecaceae. The record is from RNAcentral.
UACACCGAGUGGUAUCAAAAAGACUUGAGAUGGUGGUGUCCUGGCCAGAUAUCCCCAACAAUUGGUAUCAGAGUCAGGUGGUAUCAGUAUGAGGUUGCGGCGGUGGUGAGCAAGAUUGAAGAUGGAGAAGAUAGGUACAAUCAACAUGGAAAUCGAUCGCAGAGAGUUGAUUGAUGCUCUCUUAUGCAAGAAGGAGCCAUCUACAUAGAGGAUGCCAGCGAGAGCCCUAUAUGAGGUGGAGCUUCAGGUGGAGAUGGAUUAGGCAUGGGAUGAG